UUCUGAUUUCAGGAGAUUGGUUUUGAUUCACCGAAGAGUCUUGCGGUGUGUUAUGAAAUGGAAGCAGAAGAUAGGGAUAGAAGGCAGUCCUAAAUCACCUAAUAGUAACCUGUUUGCUCAGGCCCUUAGCCAGAUUAUAUCUACAGAGCAAAAAUUGUUUUUCCCUGAAGUUUUUUCGUAUUUUCAGGAUCAAAAGGACAGAGUGGUUACGAACUAAACAUAUUCACUGAAAAGGACUUUCUCGCUUCGUCUACGUUUUGGAUGAGGUCCUUUCGUCGACAGGAAUUCCAUUUAACUAUAUAGCGGUCUAACAUACGAAUGUACUAUUUGGCUUGCCACCUUCAGCGUGUUUGUUGUUAAUUGUAAGGUGUUAAUAAUUAUAUUAAUCUGUAUGUUAA
Macrobrachium nipponense is the source of this 398-nucleotide long non-coding RNA. RefSeq lists it as uncharacterized. The record is from RefSeq and is a predicted model, not a curated record. The transcript is spliced from 2 exons. NCBI's taxonomy places the organism in Eukaryota, Metazoa, Arthropoda, Malacostraca, Decapoda, Palaemonidae.